GAUGAACGCUGGCGGCGUGCCUAAUACAUGCAAGUCGAGCGAACAGACGAGGAGCUUGCUCCUCUGACGUUAGCGGCGGACGGGUGAGUAACACGUGGAUAACCUACCUAUAAGACUGGGAUAACUUCGGGAAACCGGAGCUAAUACCGGAUAAUAUAUUGAACCGCAUGGUUCAAUAGUGAAAGACGGUUUUGCUGUCACUUAUAGAUGGAUCCGCGCCGCAUUAGCUAGUUGGUAAGGUAACGGCUUACCAAGGCAACGAUGCGUAGCCGACCUGAGAGGGUGAUAGGCCACACGGGAACUGAGACACGGUCCAGACUCCUACGGGAGGCAGCAGUAGGGAAUCUUCCGCAAUGGGCGAAAGCCUGACGGAGCAACGCCGCGUGAGUGAUGAAGGUCUUCGGAUCGUAAAAAUCUGUUAUUAGGGAAGAACAAAUGUGUAAGUAACUAUGCACGUCUUGACGGUACCUAAUCAGAAAGCCACGGCUAACUACGUG
RNAcentral lists this ribosomal RNA (497 nucleotides) under uncultured bacterium. Its description in RNAcentral is "partial 16S ribosomal RNA". It matches the Rfam family "Bacterial small subunit ribosomal RNA", at positions 28 to 507 of the family's 1533-position model. The record is from RNAcentral.